AGUUCUUUUGUCUUUCUUUUUUUGUUUUUUUCUUUCUUUCAACGGAAAAGGCUCAAAUAUGCCAUCGAACUAUCAGAAAUGGCUCAUUUAUGCCACUCGUUGAAAGUUUGGCUCAAAUAUGCCACUGCCGUUACCUUUUUGGCUCAUCCAUGCCAUUAUUCACUAACGGUGGUUUUAAAAUACCAGAUAUGCCACGUGGCAAAAAUUUAUUGGUCCACGUCACUUAAAUGAAAACCAGCCAAAAUAAAUCCUAAUUAAACCAACCCGACCCGUUGACCCGACCCACCCAUCUUAUACCUAUUUCUUUGCCCCUCUUUCAUUAUGUUAUAACGAUUAAGCCCUAAUCAAACCCAUCUCCUCUCCUCUUCUUCCAACAUCCAUUUCAAGCAAACAAAUGUGACUUUCCAACUUUUUUUUGAAGGAUUAAAGGAAUAGCUCAUCAAGAAUGAUUGACAAAGUGGAAGUAUUAUUCAACUUUGGGGGUGAAUGGGUCUUUACUCCUCAGAUAUUAUAUAAUAAGAAUCUGGUACAUUAUUGGCAUGGGUUUGACCCAGAUUUGCUGUCUUAUAAAGACUUAUGUGAAGAGUUUGAAAAAGAGAUGAAUUUUUUUAAAGUUAAACAACUCUUAGUUACUGGACCAUCUGGUAGGUACUACAUAAUUGAUGGAGAUGAUGGUAUUAGGGCUUUGCAGUGCCUCCUUUGUUAUGAGUUUAGUAAGAUUAACUUGUUUGCUGUAGAUGAUACUGAUUUGACAGUCCAUACUCAUAACAUUCUUCAACAUUUAGAAACAUAUCAUGUAGAUGUUGAGAUAGCAUCUGAUGAUGAACUUGGUCUUGGGGACUCUAAUUCUCAUGUUGAUGCUCCAUCUGAUGUUGAGUAUGAUGAAGAAGAACGUGAGGGUUUUAACAACCAAAGGAGGAGAGUAGUAAGUGAUAGGUUGGAGAAUUUUAAGGAAUUGGAGAAGGGUAUGACAUUUUCUGAUAUUGUGGAAGCUAGAAGAAUAAUGAAUUACUAUGCAAUGGCUAAUGGUUAUGGCUUGAAGAUUAAAAAAACAGAUCCCACUAGGCUAGGUAUGCUUGUAGAGAUGGAUGUCCUUUUAGAUGUUCUAUUUCAAAGGAUAAAAAGAGCUCCACUUUUUGUAUCCAAACCUUGAAACCAAAGCAUGAUUGUGAACCAUGUUAUAAAAAUCCAAGGGCUGAUGCUAAGACAUUAGCACAAUAUUUUAAGAGAAAGGUGCAAAACAAUCCAAAAUACACUGUUAAGGACAUGAGAAUGGAAUUGGAAAAGGAUUUCAAUUUGAAUGUGACAAGUUCCAAGGUUAAAAGGACUAAGUUGAUGGUCCUUGAAAAGUUAGAAGGCAAUUUCAAAGAUGAUUUUAACAAGCUUGAAGCAUAUGGGGCUGAAUUAAAACAGUCUAAUCCGGGGACUGAUGUCGCAAUCCAGAUUUCAAAAGAUGCCUUUGAGCAAGGUAAAAGGAGGUUCUUGAGGAUGUACUUGUGUUUUAUGCUUUGAAGCUAGGUUGGAAAAGUGGCCUGAGACCACUUAUUGGUUUGGAUGGUACUUUCUUGAAGGGAAAAGUCCAAGGUCAGUUGUUGGUUGCCAUGGGACAAGAUUCUAUGAACCAAUUCUACCCAAUUGCAUGGGCAAUGGUUGACAAGGAAACCACCAGAACAUGGUCAUGGUUUGUGGAGCUUUUGAAGAGGUCUUUGGAUUUAAAAGAUGGGGCUGGAGUGACCUUUAUUUCUGAUAUGCAAAAGGGGUUAUUGGAUUCUGUGAGAAAUGUUCUUCCUCAAGCUCAUCAAAGAUAUUGUGCUAAACAUAUUGAAGCCAAUUGGUUAAAAAAAUGGAGGAGUGGGGAAAUGAGAAAGUUGAUGUGGUGGUGGGCUUGGAGCACAUAUGAUGAAGAGUUUAAAGAUCAACUCAAAAAGCUAGGCAAAUUGGAUGAAGUUGCUGCUAAGGACUUGGUAAGGAUUUCACCUGAGGCAUGGUGUAGAGCAUACUUUGAUACCAACUGUAAGAACUCAAUGGUUGACAACAACUUCACAGAAUCCUUUAAUUCUUGGAUUCUACAAGCAAGGGUAUGCCAAUUAUCAAAAUGUUGGAGGAAAUAAGGGUCAAGGUAAUGGCCUUGCUAGGAGAUAAUGAAGACAAAGCUAGGAGUUGGAAAACUAAUUAUAGUCCACAGUGCAUGAAGUUGUACAAUGAUUAUAGGGCAAUAGCACAUGGAUGCAUUGUUAACUUUAAUGGUGAUUAUGGCUAUGAGGUGUCAGAGGGUGAUGAUAGACAUACUGUCAACUUGGAGCAAAAUAGAUGCACCUGCAGGAUGUGGGACUUGUCUGGGAUACCCUGCCCUCAUGCCAUUAAGGCAUUUUUGCAUAAGAAUGUUGAUCCAGUGACACAAAUUCACUGGUUUUACAGUAAAGAAGCCUAUCUGCUGACAUACAAGCAUAAAAUGCAGCCUGUUAGAGGAGUACAGUUCUGGAAAGUUGAACCUGCUCAUGCAAUGGAGCCACCUGGAAUAAUCAAAACAGUUGGAAGACCCA
This is an RNA transcript of Lycium ferocissimum, 2543 nucleotides long. RefSeq lists it as uncharacterized. Lineage: Eukaryota; Viridiplantae; Streptophyta; Magnoliopsida; Solanales; Solanaceae. The transcript has 3 exons. The record is from RefSeq and is a predicted model, not a curated record.